UACAGAGGUCCCAAGCGUUGUUCGGAUUCACUGGGCGUAAAGGGUGCGUAGGUGGUGAGGUAAGUCGGAUGUGAAAUCUCCGAGCUCAACUAGGAAACUGCAUUGGAAACUACCUUGCUCGAGGGUUGGAGGGGGGACUGGAAUGCUUGGUGUAGCAGUGAAAUGCGUAGAUAUCAAGCGGAACACCAGUGGCGAAGGCGAGUCCCUGGACAACUCCUGACACUGAUGCACGAAAGCCAGGGGAGCAAACAGG
This 253-nucleotide ribosomal RNA is filed under the name uncultured bacterium. Its description in RNAcentral is "partial 16S ribosomal RNA". It matches the Rfam family "Bacterial small subunit ribosomal RNA", at positions 524 to 776 of the family's 1533-position model. The record is from RNAcentral.